Molecule: ribosomal RNA, 504 nt
Filed under: uncultured bacterium
Lineage: Bacteria
Description: partial 16S ribosomal RNA
Rfam family: Bacterial small subunit ribosomal RNA
Source: RNAcentral
GACGAACGCUGGCGGCGUGCCUAAUACAUGCCAGUAGAACGCACAGUUUAUACCGUAGCUUGCUACACCAUAGACUGUGAGUUGCGAACGGGUGAGUAACGCGUAGGUAACCUGCCUGGUAGCGGGGGAUAACUAUUGGAAACGAUAGCUAAUACCGCAUAAUAUUAAUUAUUGCAUGAUAAUUAAUUGAAAGGUGCAAUUGCACCACUACCAGAUGGACCUGCGUUGUAUUAGCUAGUAGGUGAGGUAACGGCUCACCUAGGCGACGAUACAUAGCCGACCUGAGAGGGUGAACGGCCACACUGGGACUGGGACACGGCCCAGACUCCUACGGGAGGCAGCAGUAGGGAAUCUUCGGCAAUGGACGAAAGUCUGACCGAGCAACGCCGCGUGAGUGAAGAAGGUUUUCGGAUCGUAAAGCUCUGUUGUAAGAGAAGAACGGGUGUGAGAGUGGAAAGUUCACACUGUGACGGUAUCUUACCAGAAAGGGACGGCUAACUACGU